CACUAUAUUGGUCUGUCAUCAUCCCUUGGCCUCUCACCUGAUGCAGCCAGUCCAGGGACAGAAUGGGGAUUCCCCGCCCCAGGGCACACAGGAACUUGACUGUCCGGCGGAUGCGAUCAGUGACCAGACACCUGAUGCUUCUUUAUAUGUAUAAUGGCUGACCCUGGCGGGACUUCCUUCUCCACUUGUGUGUUGAUGUCCACUGUGGUGGAGGCUUGGCUUCUCUCCAGGUGGAUCCCAGAUGUGCCAAAGUCAGCGCUGCUGAGACUUCUUCCUCGUCAUCUGUAUCGCUGUUGAUAACCAUGGAAGCUUGGCUUUUCUCCAGAGGGACAGCCUGUGGGGCCUUGCCUUCUUCCACAUCUGUAUCACUACCAGCCUGGCUCUCCUGCAGAUGGGCCAGGCCUGGUGCUCCAGGACCCCUUGUACCUACUCCAUGGAAGAUCUUCCUCUUCUUCAUAGGAAUGACAACUGGGGUUGCUGGGAUCCUCUCUUCUUCCGCAUCAGUGUCGCUGUUGAUGAAGCCAAAAGGCUGAGCCCUUUCCAAAUGGACCUCAGCUGGCCUUCCAGGAGGCCUGCUGUCAUCAUCCACAUCUGUGUCGCUGUCCUCUCCAGGAGGUUGGCUCCUCUCCAGAAUCACCCCAGCUGGAACCACCCCAUUCUCUGCACCCCUCUUGACUUUUGUAUCAUCGUCCCUCUCCUUCACUAAAGGCUGAUCCUUUUCAAGCUGGAUUUCAGUUA
Molecule: non-coding RNA, 738 nt
Filed under: Pan troglodytes (chimpanzee)
Lineage: Eukaryota; Metazoa; Chordata; Mammalia; Primates; Hominidae
Source: RNAcentral